GAUGAAGAACGCAGCGAAAUGCGAUAUGUAGUGUGAAUUGCAGAAUUCAGUGAAUCAUCGGAUCUUUGAACGCACAUUGCGCCCCAUGGUAUUCCGUGGGGCAUGCCUGUUCGAGCGUCAUUUACCCCCUCAAGCUCCGCUUGGUGUUGGGCGUCUGUCCCGCUUCGCGCGCGGACUCGCCCCAAAGGUAUUGGCAGCGGUCAUGCCAGCUUCUCGCGCAGCACAUUGCGCUUCUCGAGGCACCGGCGGGCCCGCGUCCAUCAAGCUCACCCCCCCAGUUUGACCUCGGAUCAGGUAGGGAUACCCGCUGAACUUAAGCAUAUCAAUAAGCGGAGGA
Molecule: unclassified non-coding RNA, 337 nt
Filed under: soil metagenome
Description: partial contains 5.8S ribosomal RNA, internal transcribed spacer 2, and large subunit ribosomal RNA
Rfam family: 5.8S ribosomal RNA (bases 1-120)
Source: RNAcentral